This 73-nucleotide transfer RNA is filed under the name Stegodyphus mimosarum. It matches the Rfam family "tRNA". From Rfam's summary of the family: Transfer RNA (tRNA) molecules are approximately 80 nucleotides in length. Their secondary structure includes four short double-helical elements and three loops (D, anti-codon, and T loops). Lineage: Eukaryota; Metazoa; Arthropoda; Arachnida; Araneae; Eresidae. The record is from Rfam by way of RNAcentral.
GCCUUCGUGGUGUAGUGGUCAGCACGCUCGACGCGUAACCGAGAGUUCCGUGGUUCGAUUCCCGGCGAAGGCG